CCUACGACACCGGGCGACGGGCCGGGGGCGAGCCCCACCGCAGCGAGUCGUGAAGAGCGUGAGGCGCGCGUGGCCGCCCUCACGGAGCAGUGGAUCCGAGCGAUCUUCGUCGUCUGCGUGCAGCGG
RNAcentral lists this non-coding RNA (126 nucleotides) under Scrippsiella trochoidea. The record is from RNAcentral. Lineage: Eukaryota; Dinophyceae; Peridiniales; Peridiniaceae.